AGGGCAUGCCAAAGAGCGCCUGUUAGACUCUUAACCAAGAGCCCUUGACAUUGUGACCAAAGGUUGACGUCAUCCACGGGGUGGCACAGUCAUUCAUAAGUGCUGUUUUCUUGAGGGGACAUAAAA
Molecule: small nucleolar RNA, 126 nt
Filed under: Peromyscus maniculatus bairdii (prairie deer mouse)
Lineage: Eukaryota; Metazoa; Chordata; Mammalia; Rodentia; Cricetidae
Description: Small nucleolar RNA SNORA25 (ENSPEMG00000029791.1)
Source: RNAcentral